CGCCUGUUUAACAAAAACAUGUCUUUUUGAAUUUAAUUUAAAGUCUGACCUGCCCACUGAAAAAUUUUAAAUGGCCGCAGUAUACUAACUGUGCAAAGGUAGCAUAAUCAUUAGUCUUUUAAUUGAAGGCUGGUAUGAAUGGUUGGACGAAAUAUUAACUGUUUCAUGAAUAUUUAUAAUAGAAUUUUAUUUUUUAGUCAAAAAGCUAAAAUUUAUUUAAAAGACGAGAAGACCCUAUUAAUCUUUAUAUUUAUAUUAUUAUAAUUUUUUAGAUUUUUUUUAUUAUAAUAAUAAAUUAUAUUUUAUUGGGGUGAUAUUAAAAUUUAAUAAACUUUUAAUUGUUUAAAUCAUUAAUUUAUGAAUAAUUGAUCCGUUAUUAGCGAUUAAAAAAACAAGUUACUUUAGGGAUAACAGCGUAAUUUUUUUGGAGAGAACAUAUCGAUAAAAAAGAUUGCGACCUCGAUGUUGGAUUAAGAUAUAAUUUUAGGUGUAGCCGCUUAAAUUUUAAGUCUGUCCGACUUUUAAAUUCUUACGUGAUCUGAGUUCAGACCGG
RNAcentral lists this ribosomal RNA (553 nucleotides) under Lucilia sericata (common green bottle fly). RNAcentral's name for it is "partial 16S ribosomal RNA". It matches the Rfam family "Bacterial large subunit ribosomal RNA", at positions 1797 to 2619 of the family's 2925-position model. Lineage: Eukaryota; Metazoa; Arthropoda; Insecta; Diptera; Calliphoridae. The record is from RNAcentral.